UAGGCUCACGGAGGCGAUGAAGGACGUGAUAAGCUGCGAUAAGCUUCGGGUAGGUGCAAAUAACCCUUGAUCCGGAGAUUUCCGAAUGGGACAACCUAGCCGUCUGAAGGACGGUUACUAGCACUUAAGUGUUAGAGCUAACGCAGGGAACUGAAACAUCUUAGUACCUGUAGGAAGAGAAAAUAAAUGAAUGAUUCCCCCAGUAGUGGCGAGCGAACGGGGAACAGCCCAAACCGUUGACGUCGCAAGGCGCCAGCGGGGUUGUAGGACCGCGACAUUGUAUGCAAAUCGUGAACAGAACACUUUGGAAAAUGUGACCAUAGACGGUGAUAGUCCAGUAUGUGAAGCGAAAUGCAGCAUAGCGGUAUCCUGAGUAACGCGGGACACGAGGAAUCCUGCGCGAAUCUGCCGGGACCAUCCGGUAAGGCUAAAUACUCCCGUGAGACCGAUAGCGAACGAGUACUGUGAAGGAAAGGUGAAAAGAACCCCGAGCAGGGGAGUGAAAUAGUUCCUGAAACCAUACGCCUACAAGCGGUCGGAGCAUCUUACGAUGUGACGGCGUGCCUUUUGCAUAAUGAUCCUACGAGUUACCGUCACUGGCGAGGUUGAGUGUCACGAGACACGUAGCCGCAGUGAAAGCGAGCCUGAAUAGGGCGCAUAGUCAGUGGGGGUAGACGCGAAACCAAGUGAUCUACACUUGGCCAGGAUGAAGUCCCGGUAACACGGGAUGGAGGUCCGCACCAAUAAGCGUUGAAAAGCUUCUGGAUGAGCCGAGUGU
Molecule: ribosomal RNA, 778 nt
Filed under: Segatella copri
Lineage: Bacteria; Pseudomonadati; Bacteroidota; Bacteroidia; Bacteroidales; Prevotellaceae
Description: partial 23S ribosomal RNA
Rfam family: Bacterial large subunit ribosomal RNA
Source: RNAcentral